Long non-coding RNA from Gavia stellata (red-throated loon), 253 nucleotides. RefSeq lists it as uncharacterized. Lineage: Eukaryota; Metazoa; Chordata; Aves; Gaviiformes; Gaviidae. The record is from RefSeq and is a predicted model, not a curated record. The transcript is spliced from 2 exons.
CGGCUCUCCGGAGGCCAGGCAUCACCUCCCUCCUGCACAGCCCCGAGGCAAACAGCACAACGCCACAAUGCCAGAGCCGUAAGUAGCAGGAGCUUCCCUCGGAUUUCACUAAAUCCUCACCUGGCUGCUGGGCUGUUCGUGCCGGCUGAGCUUGUCCAUUUUUGGAGGGGUUCAGCUGGGAGACCGGCCCAUGCUCAAGACCUCUGUGCCAUUCCCCUUGCGGAAACUAUCUUUAAAUAAAAAUUGUUAGCGA